GUGAGGGGGAGUGUUGAGAAAACUUCGUUAGGAGUUAGGACUAUAUUCUCCAUCAUCCACUUCCCUCAGUUCUCCCCGUGUUCUAUUCUCUCUCUUGUUACACUACAAUAAAACGCUAAAAACUAUGGUGUAUCUCGCCGGGUACAGCACGGUCAUAGGAUUCCAUCACCGGAGCCCAAUUUCUUUGAUAUCGAUAACACAAAACGGCGCCACUAUAACGCCCUACGACGUCGUAUUUCUGUGUCGUUGUUGCAGAUACCAUCGGUUCAGUAGUGCAUCUGAAUCUUCUUGGGAAGAAUUCCCCGCGGAGAACGCGUACGAGCUGCUAGGAGUGUCGGAGACCAGCUCCUUCGCUGAGAUCAAAGCGUCGUUUCACAAAUUAGCGAAAGAGACUCACCCGGACCUUGCUGAGUCAAGGAACGAUUCCGCUGAGUCUCGCCGAUUCGUGCAAAUCCUGGCUGCAUAUGAGAUUCUUUCAGAUUCUCGGAAGAGAACCCAUUAUGACAUGUAUUUGUUGUCCCAGAGAAGGCUCAUACAGAGGCAUUCCCAACAGGGUUCAAAAUUGCACAUUUACAAAUCCCAUGCUAAUACUUUCAAGGAGAUGGAAGUUGUUGAAUGGUUGAAGUGGUACAGAUUAACUAUAAAUGAUAUUUUGUCAGAGAAGAAGGUGGCUGUUGGAACAGGCUACUUUGAUGUGCUUGAGAGAGAUUUCUAUUCAGCUAUUCAUGCAGCAUAUUAUGGUCCUGAAAUUGAUUCUAUGCCUAUGGAGCUUUUUCCUGACUGCUUUGAGGCUGAGGAAAGGUCCUCUCAUGAAACUCCUGAGGUUUUGCACUUGGUUUCCGGCCGGGAUCUUUUCGGGAUGGUUUGCCUAGUUGAGAAGAUUCCGGAGAUAUCAUCUACGAAAAAUGAGAAGUUAAUUUCUUUCAGAUCCUUAGAUUCUGACCUGUGCCAAUCUACGAUGAAGAAAUUUCACAUCAAUGCAGAAAGGCAAGAGGAUUUUGGGACACAUCGAAUUCAAACUUCUAACAUUUCAAAUAGUGUAUCGGAUGCAUAUAGAGAUCUAGAAUUGCACGUCUCCGGCAGAGUGAUUGCUACAGCAACCCGGGACCUACCUAGAUGUUAUUCUGGUGGGUUGCAGAAAGAUGUUGAAGAUCACAUUCACGUUUUCCUUAAUUCGGAUGAAGAUCCAAAAUAUAUCAGUGGCGACUUUCCAGAACAUUACUUGGCCAAUGGUGCAGUUGGAAGCAGAAUUCAUUUGGGAACCAUAUCUGGAAUUGGGAGCACCCCAGAUGAAGGUUGUUGUUAUGUCUACAACAGCAAUGGUGACAAGACCCAUGCAAUCAUGAAACAUAGAACAUUGCUGGUGAAGCAUAUGCACUGGUAUGAAAUCGGUGACAGAGUUUCACUUUGUGAGUGUAGAUGCACUAGGGCACGUUUACCACCAAGCAAUUAUACAGGUUUUGGCUAUUUGAACCUCGCUCUGGCUUCCAUGACAUAGGGGGUUGGUAUGUUGAAACAUAUGGUAAAGAUAAGAAGGGUCAUACAAUACCAUCACAAAGGUUGUGGGAUGGCUUGGACAAUGGCGAGCAAGCUGACAGAAUUGUGUCCUAACCAAGUACUUGCCAAUGGAGUGUAUUGAUUGUUGAUUAUGCAAUAUGCAAUAUGCAGAAGACUUCAUCCAGCUAUGUAUUUGUUUGCUCUUGCAUAUCGGACACUCGAUAUUGAAUAUGCCAAAGCAAACAAGAAGACCUUCAGGCAUGUUGUUGGAGCACAAAUGUUCAAAAUUCUUCAUUGGUGUAGGAAACUUGUUUAAUAUGGUAUAUUGGGCCUAUCGCACAAUCAACCAUUUUAUUAUACUCUAUUGAUACACCAAUUUGGGACAAAGCAACAGAGCUUCACUGAUCUCUAGUUCGUGAAAUCAUUGGAUCAAGGACUGCUUGAUGGGUGCUCUUUCAAUAUUUGAGGAAUUCAUAUCAUGCUUGAGCUAUUUUGCUUGACAUUGAACGUGAAAAACAUGUCAUCUGUUUUUCCUUUUCCUCAAAAAUGAGCUGCAAUCGGAAUCUUUGCAAAUGAAUAUCAUUCAAUGUUUCUAGUUGGUUAGAUCAGUAUAAUGGAAGCAAAUAGUUUUGCUUUGCAAUGAAUUUGUCCCCUGCACUGGAAUCAAUUGUCAUUAGAGCAGCACUCUCCUCAGAUCGACUUAGCUACCAUAACUCACGGCAUAUCAAGAACAAUCUUCUCAUGCUUGCAGAAUUGUCCAAGCGGGGCUUGUACUUGUGUAUCUGUAUAUUUUCAAAAAUGGCUCAGGAACUUAAUCAUUGGCAUGGUAGUUUAAAACUUGUUCUAUUGCAUCUGAGGCAAACAACAUAAAGGUCAUGCAUGACUACAAGAGGGAGCUCCAACCAAGCUAAACUUUGAAUCCAUUGUGUCU
Molecule: non-coding RNA, 2428 nt
Organism: Arachis ipaensis
Lineage: Eukaryota; Viridiplantae; Streptophyta; Magnoliopsida; Fabales; Fabaceae
Source: RefSeq, a predicted model, not a curated record